GAUGAACGCUGGCGGCGUGCCUAAUACAUGCAAGUCGAGCGAACAGACGAGGAGCUUGCUCCUCUGACGUUAGCGGCGGACGGGUGAGUAACACGUGGAUAACCUACCUAUAAGACUGGGAUAACUUCGGGAAACCGGAGCUAAUACCGGAUAAUAUAUUGAACCGCAUGGUUCAAUAGUGAAAGACGGUUUUGCUGUCACUUAUAGAUGGAUCCGCGCCGCAUUAGCUAGUUGGUAAGGUAACGGCUUACCAAGGCGACGAUGCGUAGCCGACCUGAGAGGGUGAUAGCCCACACUGGAAAUGAGACACGGUCCAGACUCCUACGGGAGGCAGCAGUAGGGAAUCUUCCGCAAUGGGCGAAAGCAUGACGGAGCAACGCCGCGUGAGUGAUGAAGGUCUUCGGAUCGUAAAACUCUGUUAUUAGGGAAGAACAAAUGUGUAAGUAACUAUGCACGUCUUGACGGUACCUAAUCAGAAAGCCACGGCUAACUACGUG
Molecule: ribosomal RNA, 497 nt
Filed under: uncultured bacterium
Lineage: Bacteria
Description: partial 16S ribosomal RNA
Rfam family: Bacterial small subunit ribosomal RNA
Source: RNAcentral